Non-coding RNA from Chelonoidis abingdonii (Abingdon island giant tortoise), 981 nucleotides. Lineage: Eukaryota; Metazoa; Chordata; Testudines; Testudinidae. The record is from RefSeq and is a predicted model, not a curated record.
GCAGCCGCCACCGCCGCAGCUUCUUCCCAUCGGACUAAUAACUCCUCUCCCCCUCCCUCUGUCAUCCUCCUCCAAAACAAAACCGCGCGCAGCACGCACACAAACGUGUAGGGGAGUCAGCAGCACCUCGCUUAGGCGUAGGGCUGGUUCCUGCAACUUCUAGCCCCGGCUCUGAUGUGAGUCAGAGUGAGGUUCCCUUUCGAGGGGUGGGAGUGUGGCAUUUGCUUGUUAGCGAGGGGUGCAGUGGUUGCAGCUCAGGGCUGAUUUGAUUUCUCUUCCCCCUCGCCCCCCCGGCACUCCCUUUGAAUGGGGCUGGAAAGUUGCGAAGCGGGCUGGGUGGCAUGAGAAAGUUUAAACACAAAGCGAGGAGAGAUCCUUUGUUCUGCUGGGGGGACCUUUGGAGAGGGUGGCUGAGCCAGACACGUCCAGGUCAGAAGCGAUCGACAGCAAUUAGUCUUUCCCGUCAAACGCCCCCCUCCACCCAAAGGAGCCAGGCGCUGGGAGGAGGAAAGCGGAAGGUGCAUCAAUCACACCAAGGUAAAGUGUGAUUGUCAGAGAAGCAUGAUGGCUGCCAAAACACCUUACAGCAAUAGGUGCCAUAUUGCAUUUGCUCUUCAAAUGGUGGAAUACAGCUGCGGAUACUUUAGUGGGGAUUAACAGAGUGCAAACUAAAGACAUCAAACAUCAUCAUUUGGAUUUAUACAUCUAUUAAUAAACUGAUAAAACUGGUGGUAGUGGCUCUUGAAGAAAUCAGAAAAUAUGGAAGGUGCUGUUGAAAAUGGUCUGGAGGUCGUUUUGACAAUGAUAUUCUACAAUUAAAAUAAGGGAAUUGGCCAUAUCUCUUCCUUUUGCCUGGUUGCUGAAGCAUUGUCACAGGACAGCAAGGAUUGAUGAAUAUUCUUCAGUAUAGGUUCAAAGCAAGAAAUUUGAGAAUCUAGAGGAGCCAAACAAAGAUAAAUAGUGAGCCAAUUUUCCAAACUG